This is an RNA transcript of Thamnophis elegans (Western terrestrial garter snake), 1199 nucleotides long. It is a transcript of the gene named chromosome 16 C15orf40 homolog, with no coding region annotated. The transcript is spliced from 5 exons. Lineage: Eukaryota; Metazoa; Chordata; Lepidosauria; Squamata; Natricidae. The record is from RefSeq and is a predicted model, not a curated record.
GAAAGAGCAGGCGGAAGUGACGCAGACCCCGCGAUGCUGGGCUUGGUUUUUCCGGCUUUCUGUCGCCGUUCGGGGUCUCCGGUUUGGGCUGCCGCGGCGGGACGAAGACAUGCCAUGCCCCGGAAGGGGAAAGCACAAACGAAGGACUUGGUUAAGCCUUCUGCUCCUCCAGUUCCAGUGACGAAGGAUAAAAAUGGUUCUGUUGUUAUUUCUGUUCAUGCCAAACCAGGAUCUAAACAAAAUGCUGUAACAGAUCUGACCACUGAUGCAGUAAGCGUGUCCAUCGCAGCCCCUCCAUCCGAAGGGGAAGCCAACGCAGAGCUCUGUCGCUACCUCUCUAAAAUCCUCGAAGUCAAGAAGAAUGAUGUGGUGUUGGAGAAGGGGAGUAAAUCUCGAGAAAAAGUGGUGAAAAUUUUGGCCCCGCUGACUCCAGAGGACGUUUUAGAGAAGCUGAGGAAAGAGUGUUCCAGCUGAAGCUAGGCCUAACCAAAGCCUUAACAAGUCGUUUCUCCAGCCGCAAAGAAUGACUUCAUUUCGGGGUACAGUGGGUUUUUCCCCCCGCCCUACAUCGCUCCCAUGCCAAGACCUGAGCUUUGUAUUAUUGGAUGCAGAAAAUGUGUCUUCAGCUUUAUAUUUGCAUUUGUGAAACUGUCGGUCCCUUAAUUUGUUUCCAUCGCAUGGAAGAAACAAUAAUGUGCCUCCCCUUUGAAUGAGAGAAUUAGGCUUUUAAGGCAGUCUGGAUUCUGGUUUUGCAACAUCCUGCCCCUGCAUCUCCCCCUCGUUCCACAGGAGGAAUCUUGACUGAAAUAUUUAGAAAUAAAGGGGUCCCUGCAGAUUUUACUCUGCUAAUCGGCACUGUAUAGGGGGCGGUGCUCAGCUCAAGGCAAUUGAGCCAUUGAGGCACUAUCCGAAGAUAUUUCUGCACUCAUCUGACCAACAUGACAUCACAGAGAACUCUUACCUUCCUAUCAAAGUGGUACCCAUUUAUCUACUUGCCUUUGCAUGCUUUUGAACUACUCAGUUGACAGGAGCUGGGUUGAGAAGGGGAGCUCACGACUCGAAAUGGAGACAUUUGGAGUCCCUUAAAUCUCUCCUUCUCACCAUGUUGUGGUUUUUUUGUUGUUGUCGUCCUGAUGCUAGACACAAUACCUCACUACUUUUAAAAUAAAACUGGCUGAUAUUUUGUCUGUUGGAUUUUA